This 1417-nucleotide ribosomal RNA is filed under the name Klebsiella pneumoniae. Its description in RNAcentral is "bacterial LSU rRNA". It matches the Rfam family "Bacterial large subunit ribosomal RNA", at positions 1531 to 2925 of the family's 2925-position model. The record is from RNAcentral. Lineage: Bacteria; Pseudomonadati; Pseudomonadota; Gammaproteobacteria; Enterobacterales; Enterobacteriaceae.
UCCAGGCAAAUCCGGAUAAUCAAGGCUGAGGUGUGAUGACGAGGUACUACGGUGCUGAAGUAACAAAUGCCCUGCUUCCAGGAAAAGCCUCUAAGCAUCAGGUAACAUCAAAUCGUACCCCAAACCGACACAGGUGGUCAGGUAGAGAAUACCAAGGCGCUUGAGAGAACUCGGGUGAAGGAACUAGGCAAAAUGGUGCCGUAACUUCGGGAGAAGGCACGCUGGUGUGUAGGUGAAGUCCCUGCGGAUGGAGCUGAGACCAGUCGAAGAUACCAGCUGGCUGCAACUGUUUAUUAAAAACACAGCACUGUGCAAACACGAAAGUGGACGUAUACGGUGUGACGCCUGCCCGGUGCCGGAAGGUUAAUUGAUGGGGUUAUCCGUAAGGAGAAGCUCUUGAUCGAAGCCCCGGUAAACGGCGGCCGUAACUAUAACGGUCCUAAGGUAGCGAAAUUCCUUGUCGGGUAAGUUCCGACCUGCACGAAUGGCGUAAUGAUGGCCAGGCUGUCUCCACCCGAGACUCAGUGAAAUUGAACUCGCUGUGAAGAUGCAGUGUACCCGCGGCAAGACGGAAAGACCCCGUGAACCUUUACUAUAGCUUGACACUGAACAUUGAGCCUUGAUGUGUAGGAUAGGUGGGAGGCUUUGAAGCGUGGACGCCAGUCUGCGUGGAGCCAACCUUGAAAUACCACCCUUUAAUGUUUGAUGUUCUAACGUUGGCCCCUUAUCGGGGUUGCGGACAGUGUCUGGUGGGUAGUUUGACUGGGGCGGUCUCCUCCCAAAGCGUAACGGAGGAGCACGAAGGUUAGCUAAUCCUGGUCGGACAUCAGGAGGUUAGUGCAAUGGCAUAAGCUAGCUUGACUGCGAGCGUGACGGCGCGAGCAGGUGCGAAAGCAGGUCAUAGUGAUCCGGUGGUUCUGAAUGGAAGGGCCAUCGCUCAACGGAUAAAAGGUACUCCGGGGAUAACAGGCUGAUACCGCCCAAGAGUUCAUAUCGACGGCGGUGUUUGGCACCUCGAUGUCGGCUCAUCACAUCCUGGGGCUGAAGUAGGUCCCAAGGGUAUGGCUGUUCGCCAUUUAAAGUGGUACGCGAGCUGGGUUUAGAACGUCGUGAGACAGUUCGGUCCCUAUCUGCCGUGGGCGCUGGAGAAUUGAGGGGGGCUGCUCCUAGUACGAGAGGACCGGAGUGGACGCAUCACUGGUGUUCGGGUUGUCAUGCCAAUGGCACUGCCCGGUAGCUAAAUGCGGAAGAGAUAAGUGCUGAAAGCAUCUAAGCACGAAACUUGCCCCGAGAUGAGUUCUCCCUGAGACUUUAAGUCUCCUGAAGGAACGUUGAAGACGACGACGUUGAUAGGCCGGGUGUGUAAGCGCAGCGAUGCGUUGAGCUAACCGGUACUAAUGAACCGUGAGGCUUAACC